GCGGCUCCGGUAGAUUAGGGCCAGCAGGGCACGUGGCUUGGGACCGUGUGGAGAGUGCGGGCGCUGGACAGCAGCUCCGGCCCCUCACCGACGCGCAGCCCGCGCCUGGGCCGACCUGUUGACUGAAAAUCAGCCGGCGCUUGGCCAGAUGCGUCGAUGGAGGCCCGCAGCCCAGCGACGACGUGGUAGUCAUGGCUGAAGCGGCGCCUGCCCCGCCAAAUGCAGAGAAGAGCUCAUACCUCUAUUCCAUAGAAAUCACACUGUGGACCGUGGUGCCUGCUGUUCAGGCCUUGGAGAAGAAAAGUGGAUUCUUGCCUGGCCCGCUUGCUGACUCUGGAGGGAUGCUCAGGGACAGCAGAGAAGAAGCUGGCUGACUGUGAGAAGACAGCUGUGGAGUUCAGCAGCCAGCUGGAGGGCAAGUUGGCCGUGCUGGGGACCCUGCCUCAGGAGUCUAGGCUGCUGCAUGAAGAACCUCAUGGGCAACUGGAACUUCUGGGUCCAGCGGCUUCCCCCUGGCAACAAGGGGGAGGUCCCCAAGGUGCCCCUGACCUUUGAUGACAUGGCUGUAUAUUUCUCUGAAUUAGAGUGGGCCAAGCUGGAGGACUGGCAGAAGAGGCUCGACAAGCAUGUGAUGGGGGCAGCUAUGAGAUGCUCGUUUCCCUGGGUAUUUCUCUGAGUCCAGAGCAGGCCCCAAGUCCAGCUAGCCCUGCCCAGGAGGAACUGAAUCAAAGGCAGACACCUGAGCAGCAGCAAGAGGAAGCAACCAUGAUUCCACCUGAGCCAGGCACUGGGAUUCCAGCAAGCACCAGCCCUUUAUCACUUAAACAGGAGGAAGAAUCUGCAGAGGGAGGAGAGUUGCCACCCUCCCCUUCCACAGAUAGCCUGCUUUCUGUGGAGCCAGACAGAAGCCCCAUCUGAGGAUCAACCUGAGCAGAACCUUCUGCAGUCCUGCAGCCAGUCCGUAUUUAGAGUCCACAGAAGGACCAGGAUUAAGACCAGGGGCCACAGAUGGCAUCACACGGAUUGGGGAACCUCAGGCAGCAGAGGAUAUGGGAGAGCCACCCUGUAUCCUUCCUCAGCCACAGAAGCAGGCAUUCCUGUGCCCUGACUGUGGGCAGAGCUUCUGCUUGAAGAUUAAUCUGACAAUCCAUUAGCAGACCCAUGUAGAAAAGAAACACAAGGAGGCUUGGAGUGGCUUGCCUAUUAGGUCAGGGAAAAGCCACUCCACACUGGAACCAGAGAAAGUGGUGGUGCCAGGCCCUGUCAUCCACUGGCCACCUGAGGAGCCCACAAGCCACCGGUCUCCAACAAGCCAUGCCUUCAUGAGACAAAGGCCAGCAACUACAGUUUACCACUGUAGUGAAUGUCUUCACUCCUUUCAGCAACAGAAGAGCCUGGUAUUACACCAGCAUCAGCACACAGGCAAGAGGCAGAGCUGGCCUGCCUGUCCCUACUGUGGCAAGGCCUCCCGCCGGCCCUCAGACCUCUUUUGUCACCAGUGUAUCCAUACUGGUGAGCGUUCCUAUCAGUGCCCCCAGUGUGGCAAGGAGCCACCACCUGGCUGUCCACAUGCAGACUCAUUCCUGAGGCUAAACAAUCCUGCAUUUCCUCUUGCUUUCUGUCCUCCAGGGAAGUCCAGCCCUGCAAGGGCCCAGCUCUGAACAGGACAGGACCUGCACUGUCUCAGGGCCUUUCCCUUGUGCCUGCCAAGUGGUGGAAGUUCCUUCACUUUCCAGCUGAGUUGGUACUUUAGGGGCCCUUCAAAAGCACAAGCUCCAGACCAGGAAUUUGAGGUGAUAGUGUCAUGCCUCAAAGUCAUGAGAGCGGGUGCUUCAUGUGCCUCUUUGUCACAGCACCUUGGGGACAGCCUUGUGGAGCUUCUGGAGCUGGGUGAUGGAUUCCAAUUCUGAUAGUUUGCUCUCUUGUUUGGCACUCAGACACCAGAGCACAUGAAGGCUCCCAGGUGCCUUCAUCCCUGGCUGUGCUAUUGCUAAAGUCCUGCAGACUCUGUAGCCACUCAGAAGUCCUGCACAGACGAGGCAGAGGGUGACACUGCCGUCAUUCCCAGGGUAGGGGUAUGACUGGCAAGACUGUGGCAUGCAGCCAUGGUUCUGGACGUUACUUGCCUGCACACCCAACCGUUGUUUAGGCCCUGCAAGCAAGACAGCAGUUGUCAGUAAGCGCUCAGACUGAACGUGGACAGUAUAGCUGCCCCAAACUUAAUCCUCCGCUGCAAGCACUCAUGUUGCUGUUCUGGGGGUUCCUAGGCCUCUCUUCUAAUGCUUUAGAUGUUCUCUGGAAAACAAGUAUUCAUAUUUGAAGCACAAAUCCAAGUGCUGGGGUGGGGGAAGAGGCGCUGUAUAAUCCUGGCUCGCCUUGGGCUUGCAGUGAAUUUUUUUCCCCUACCUCUAUCUACCUACUAGGAUUUCCUUGCUUGUGCCAUUAUGCACAACUGGGCUUACUGCAUUUAACCUGAAAUUCAAUAGGACAGGUUAAAGAGUAUUUUGAGUUAAGAAUGAACAAAGGCUGCAUGGUUGCCUGAGCUCAAAGACGUUGGAUCCCAGAUUCUGAUGACUUAUUUUGUAAAACAAAGAUAUGGUUGGGUUGGUUACAAGGCCCUAAGAACCAUGGAGGUGGAAAUAUUAACUUAAUCGGUGCUCUAUAAAUACACUGGAAAAUG
This 2680-nucleotide long non-coding RNA is filed under the name Mus musculus (house mouse). RNAcentral describes it as "zinc finger protein 783". The record is from RNAcentral. Lineage: Eukaryota; Metazoa; Chordata; Mammalia; Rodentia; Muridae.